GAUGAAGAACGUAGCGAAAUGCGAUAAGUAAUGUGAAUUGCAGAAUUCAGUGAAUCAUCGAAUCUUUGAACGCACCUUGCACCCUUUGGCAUCCCGAAGGGUAUGCUCGUUUGAGUGUCAUUGUACUCUCACUCUCCCGAUGCUUUUGGAUCGGGAGUGGUGGACUUGGGUGUUGCUGCUUUGCUGUGGCUCGCCUCAAAUGGAGUAGUGCAACUCUUGGUUGGACAUAGUACGGCGUGAUAAGUGUCUGCGCCGGCGCCUCAUUAUAGAGGGUGGCCGAUCGGGAGCUCUGUGCUUCAAACCGUCUUCGGACAACAUCUGACAACUUGACCUCAAAUCGAGUAGGACUACCCGCUGAACUUAAGCAUAUCAAUAAGCGGAGGA
This 384-nucleotide unclassified non-coding RNA is filed under the name soil metagenome. RNAcentral's name for it is "partial contains 5.8S ribosomal RNA, internal transcribed spacer 2, and large subunit ribosomal RNA". The stretch from base 1 to 120 matches the Rfam family "5.8S ribosomal RNA", at positions 35 to 154 of the family's 154-position model. The record is from RNAcentral.